RNAcentral lists this ribosomal RNA (497 nucleotides) under uncultured bacterium. RNAcentral describes it as "partial 16S ribosomal RNA". It matches the Rfam family "Bacterial small subunit ribosomal RNA", at positions 28 to 507 of the family's 1533-position model. The record is from RNAcentral.
GAUGAACGCUGGCGGCGUGCCUAAUACAUGCAAGUCGAGCGAACGGACGAGAAGCUUGCUUUUCUGAUGUUAGCGGCGGACGGGUGAGUAACACGUGGAUAACCUACCUAUAAGACUGGGAUAACUUCGGGAAACCGGAGCUAAUACCGGAUAAUAUUUUGAACCGCAUGGUUCAAAAGUGAAAGACGGUCUUGCUGUCACUUAUAGAUGGAUCCGCGCUGCAUUAGCUAGUUGGUAAGGUAACGGCUUACCAAGGCAUCGAUGCAUAGCCGACCUGAGAGGGUGAUCGGCCACACUGGAACUGAGACACGGUCCAGACUCCUACGGGAGGCAGCAGUAGGGAAUCUUCCGCAAUGGGCGAAAGCCUGACGGAGCAACGCCGCGUGAGUGAUGAAGGUCUUCGGAUCGUAAAACUCUGUUAUUAGGGAAGAACAUAUGUGUAAGUAACUGUGCACAUCUUGACGGUACCUAAUCAGAAAGCCACGGCUAACUACGUG